RNAcentral lists this ribosomal RNA (481 nucleotides) under uncultured bacterium. Its description in RNAcentral is "bacterial SSU rRNA". It matches the Rfam family "Bacterial small subunit ribosomal RNA", at positions 1 to 518 of the family's 1533-position model. The record is from RNAcentral.
GAUCAUGGACGUCAGGAUUAACGCUGGCGGCGUGCCUAAUACAUGCAAGUCGAAUGGUAGCAAUACCAUGGCGAACGGGUGAGUAACACGUAGGUAACCUGUCUUUAAGACGAGGGAUAACCGUUGGAAACGACGGAUAAUACUCGAUAGGUGAUUUGAGGGCAUCCUUGGAUCAUUAAAGAUUUAUCACUUAGAGAGGGGCCUGCGGCGCAUUAGCUAGAUGGCGGUGUAAUGGACCACCAUGGCGAUGAUGCGUAGCCGGACUGAGAGGUUGAACGGCCACAAUGGAACUGAGAACGGUCCAUACUCCUACGGGAGGCAGCAGUAGGGAAUUUUCGGCAAUGGGCGAAAGCCUGACCGAAGCAACGCCGCGUGAACGAAGAAGUAUUUCGGUAUGUAAAGUUCUUUUAUCGGGGAAGAAAAUAUUCAAAUUGACGGUACCUGAUGAAUAAGCUCCGGCUAACUACGUGCCAGCAGCGGC